This is a non-coding RNA of Rattus norvegicus (Norway rat), 303 nucleotides long. Lineage: Eukaryota; Metazoa; Chordata; Mammalia; Rodentia; Muridae. The record is from RefSeq and is a predicted model, not a curated record.
UACAGAGAAAGUUAUGCAGUAAUGCAGCCUCAUGAAGCCACUGUCACCCCUAUUCAUAGCUCUGGGAUUUUAAACGGUCCUUCAGAGUUGUGUCUUCAUGGGGCAGAGAGAAACAGAAGUGGCUGUUAAUCUGACAGCCAAUACAUGGGAACAAAUGCCUUCUUCCCACACACGAGCCUGAAUAAAAGCAAAGAGAGGAAACACGGAGUUCCUCUUGAUCCUCCAAUCUCUGGAUCUUUCAUAAACUCCCAAGAACUUAUGACCUCAUUUUUUUAAAAAUAAAAACGGAACCAGUUCUAUAUA